This 58-nucleotide transfer RNA is filed under the name Apaloderma vittatum (bar-tailed trogon). It matches the Rfam family "tRNA", at positions 8 to 63 of the family's 71-position model. From Rfam's summary of the family: Transfer RNA (tRNA) molecules are approximately 80 nucleotides in length. Their secondary structure includes four short double-helical elements and three loops (D, anti-codon, and T loops). Lineage: Eukaryota; Metazoa; Chordata; Aves; Trogoniformes; Trogonidae. The record is from Rfam by way of RNAcentral.
UAGCUCAGUCAGUAGAGCAUAGCGCUAACAAUGCUAAGGUCGCGGGUUCGAUUCCCAU